AGUGAACGCUGGCGGUAGACCUAACACAUGCAAGUCGAACGGCAGCACAGUAAGAGCUUGCUCUUACGGGUGGCGAGUGGCGGACGGGUGAGGAAUACAUCGGAAUCUACUUUUUCGUGGGGGAUAACGUAGGGAAACUUACGCUAAUACCGCAUACGACCUACGGGUGAAAGCAGGGGAUCUUCGGACCUUGCGCGAUUGAAUGAGCCGAUGUCGGAUUAGCUAGUUGGCGGGGUAAAGGCCCACCAAGGCGACGAUCCGUAGCUGGUCUGAGAGGAUGAUCAGCCACACGGGAACUGAGACACGGUCCAGACUCCUACGGGAGGCAGCAGUGGGGAAUAUUGGGCAAUGGGCGAAAGCCUGAUCCAGCCAUACCGCGUGGGUGAAGAAGGCCUUCGGGUUGUAAAGCCCUGUUGUUGGGAAAGAAGAGCAGCAGGUUAAUACCCCGCUGUUCUGACGGUACCCAAAGAAUAAGCACCGGCUAACUUCGUG
This 492-nucleotide ribosomal RNA is filed under the name uncultured bacterium. RNAcentral describes it as "partial 16S ribosomal RNA". It matches the Rfam family "Bacterial small subunit ribosomal RNA", at positions 29 to 507 of the family's 1533-position model. The record is from RNAcentral.